AGGUGGAUUAGUGGCGCACGGGUGAGUAAUGCAUAGGUAACAUGCCCUUUAGUCUGGGAUAGCCACUGGAAACGGUGAUUAAUACUAGAUACUCCCUACGGGGGAAAGAAUUUCGCUAUGGGAUCAGCCUAUGUCCUAUCAGCUUGUUGGUGAGGUAAUGGCUCACCAAGGCUAUGACGGGUAUCCGGCCUGAGAGGGUGAUCGGACACACUGGAACUGAGACACGGUCCAGACUCCUACGGGAGGCAGCAGUAGGGAAUAUUGCUCAAUGGGGGAAACCCUGAAGCAGCAACGCCGCGUGGAGGAUGAAGGUUUUAGGAUUGUAAACUCCUUUCCUAAGAGAAGAUU
This 348-nucleotide ribosomal RNA is filed under the name uncultured Helicobacter sp. RNAcentral's name for it is "bacterial SSU rRNA". It matches the Rfam family "Bacterial small subunit ribosomal RNA", at positions 85 to 450 of the family's 1533-position model. The record is from RNAcentral. Lineage: Bacteria; Pseudomonadati; Campylobacterota; Epsilonproteobacteria; Campylobacterales; Helicobacteraceae.